This 2893-nucleotide ribosomal RNA is filed under the name Escherichia coli. RNAcentral describes it as "bacterial LSU rRNA". It matches the Rfam family "Bacterial large subunit ribosomal RNA". Lineage: Bacteria; Pseudomonadati; Pseudomonadota; Gammaproteobacteria; Enterobacterales; Enterobacteriaceae. RNAcentral also lists the same sequence under 1 other name. The record is from RNAcentral.
ACUAAGCGUACACGGUGGAUGCCCUGGCAGUCAGAGGCGAUGAAGGACGUGCUAAUCUGCGAUAAGCGUCGGUAAGGUGAUAUGAACCGUUAUAACCGGCGAUUUCCGAAUGGGGAAACCCAGUGUGAUUCGUCACACUAUCAUUAACUGAAUCCAUAGGUUAAUGAGGCGAACCGGGGGAACUGAAACAUCUAAGUACCCCGAGGAAAAGAAAUCAACCGAGAUUCCCCCAGUAGCGGCGAGCGAACGGGGAGCAGCCCAGAGCCUGAAUCAGUGUGUGUGUUAGUGGAAGCGUCUGGAAAGGCGCGCGAUACAGGGUGACAGCCCCGUACACAAAAAUGCACAUACUGUGAGCUCGAUGAGUAGGGCGGGACACGUGGUAUCCUGUCUGAAUAUGGGGGGACCAUCCUCCAAGGCUAAAUACUCCUGACUGACCGAUAGUGAACCAGUACCGUGAGGGAAAGGCGAAAAGAACCCCGGCGAGGGGAGUGAAAAAGAACCUGAAACCGUGUACGUACAAGCAGUGGGAGCCUCUUUAUGGGGUGACUGCGUACCUUUUGUAUAAUGGGUCAGCGACUUAUAUUCUGUAGCAAGGUUAACCGAAUAGGGGAGCCGAAGGGAAACCGAGUCUUAACUGGGCGUUAAGUUGCAGGGUAUAGACCCGAAACCCGGUGAUCUAGCCAUGGGCAGGUUGAAGGUUGGGUAACACUAACUGGAGGACCGAACCGACUAAUGUUGAAAAAUUAGCGGAUGACUUGUGGCUGGGGGUGAAAGGCCAAUCAAACCGGGAGAUAGCUGGUUCUCCCCGAAAGCUAUUUAGGUAGCGCCUCGUGAAUUCAUCUCCGGGGGUAGAGCACUGUUUCGGCAAGGGGGUCAUCCCGACUUACCAACCCGAUGCAAACUGCGAAUACCGGAGAAUGUUAUCACGGGAGACACACGGCGGGUGCUAACGUCCGUCGUGAAGAGGGAAACAACCCAGACCGCCAGCUAAGGUCCCAAAGUCAUGGUUAAGUGGGAAACGAUGUGGGAAGGCCCAGACAGCCAGGAUGUUGGCUUAGAAGCAGCCAUCAUUUAAAGAAAGCGUAAUAGCUCACUGGUCGAGUCGGCCUGCGCGGAAGAUGUAACGGGGCUAAACCAUGCACCGAAGCUGCGGCAGCGACACUAUGUGUUGUUGGGUAGGGGAGCGUUCUGUAAGCCUGUGAAGGUGUGCUGUGAGGUAUGCUGGAGGUAUCAGAAGUGCGAAUGCUGACAUAAGUAACGAUAAAGCGGGUGAAAAGCCCGCUCGCCGGAAGACCAAGGGUUCCUGUCCAACGUUAAUCGGGGCAGGGUGAGUCGACCCCUAAGGCGAGGCCGAAAGGCGUAGUCGAUGGGAAACAGGUUAAUAUUCCUGUACUUGGUGUUACUGCGAAGGGGGGACGGAGAAGGCUAUGUUGGCCGGGCGACGGUUGUCCCGGUUUAAGCGUGUAGGCUGGUUUUCCAGGCAAAUCCGGAAAAUCAAGGCUGAGGCGUGAUGACGAGGCACUACGGUGCUGAAGCAACAAAUGCCCUGCUUCCAGGAAAAGCCUCUAAGCAUCAGGUAACAUCAAAUCGUACCCCAAACCGACACAGGUGGUCAGGUAGAGAAUACCAAGGCGCUUGAGAGAACUCGGGUGAAGGAACUAGGCAAAAUGGUGCCGUAACUUCGGGAGAAGGCACGCUGAUAUGUAGGUGAAGUCCCUUGCGGAUGGAGCUGAAAUCAGUCGAAGAUACCAGCUGGCUGCAACUGUUUAUUAAAAACACAGCACUGUGCAAACACGAAAGUGGACGUAUACGGUGUGACGCCUGCCCGGUGCCGGAAGGUUAAUUGAUGGGGUUAGCGGUAACGCGAAGCUCUUGAUCGAAGCCCCGGUAAACGGCGGCCGUAACUAUAACGGUCCUAAGGUAGCGAAAUUCCUUGUCGGGUAAGUUCCGACCUGCACGAAUGGCGUAAUGAUGGCCAGGCUGUCUCCACCCGAGACUCAGUGAAAUUGAACUCGCUGUGAAGAUGCAGUGUACCCGCGGCAAGACGGAAAGACCCCGUGAACCUUUACUAUAGCUUGACACUGAACAUUGAGCCUUGAUGUGUAGGAUAGGUGGGAGGCUUUGAAGUGUGGACGCCAGUCUGCAUGGAGCCGACCUUGAAAUACCACCCUUUAAUGUUUGAUGUUCUAACGUUGGCCCCUGAUCGGGGUUGCGGACAGUGUCUGGUGGGUAGUUUGACUGGGGCGGUCUCCUCCUAAAGAGUAACGGAGGAGCACGAAGGUUGGCUAAUCCUGGUCGGACAUCAGGAGGUUAGUGCAAUGGCAUAAGCCAGCUUGACUGCGAGCGUGACGGCGCGAGCAGGUGCGAAAGCAGGUCAUAGUGAUCCGGUGGUUCUGAAUGGAAGGGCCAUCGCUCAACGGAUAAAAGGUACUCCGGGGAUAACAGGCUGAUACCGCCCAAGAGUUCAUAUCGACGGCGGUGUUUGGCACCUCGAUGUCGGCUCAUCACAUCCUGGGGCUGAAGUAGGUCCCAAGGGUAUGGCUGUUCGCCAUUUAAAGUGGUACGCGAGCUGGGUUUAGAACGUCGUGAGACAGUUCGGUCCCUAUCUGCCGUGGGCGCUGGAGAACUGAGGGGGGCUGCUCCUAGUACGAGAGGACCGGAGUGGACGCAUCACUGGUGUUCGGGUUGUCAUGCCAAUGGCACUGCCCGGUAGCUAAAUGCGGAAGAGAUAAGUGCUGAAAGCAUCUAAGCACGAAACUUGCCCCGAGAUGAGUUCUCCCUGACUCCUUGAGAGUCCUGAAGGAACGUUGAAGACGACGACGUUGAUAGGCCGGGUGUGUAAGCGCAGCGAUGCGUUGAGCUAACCGGUACUAAUGAACCGUGAGGCUUAACC